AACGAACGCUGGCGGCAUGCCUAACACAUGCAAGUCGAACGAGACCUUCGGGUCUAGUGGCGCACGGGUGCGUAACGCGUGGGAACCUGCCCUUAGGUUCGGAAUAACUCCCCGAAAGGGGUGCUAAUACCGGAUAAUGUCUUCGGACCAAAGAUUUAUCGCCUUUGGAUGGGCCCGCGUUGGAUUAGCUAGUUGGUAGGGUAAAAGCCUACCAAGGCGACGAUCCGUAGCUGGUCUGAGAGGGGGAUCAGCCACACUGGGACUGAGACACGGCCCAGACGCCUACGGGAGGCCGCAGUAGGGAAUCUUCCGCAAGGGGCUAAAGCCGGACGGAGCAACGCCGCGUGAGGGAUGAAGGUCUUCGGAUCGUAAAACUCUGUUAUUAGGGAAGAACAAAUGUGUAAGUAACUAUGCACGUCUUGACGGUACCUAAUCAGAAAGCCAGGGCUAGCUACGUG
Molecule: ribosomal RNA, 458 nt
Filed under: uncultured bacterium
Lineage: Bacteria
Description: partial 16S ribosomal RNA
Rfam family: Bacterial small subunit ribosomal RNA
Source: RNAcentral